RNAcentral lists this ribosomal RNA (308 nucleotides) under uncultured bacterium. RNAcentral describes it as "bacterial SSU rRNA". It matches the Rfam family "Bacterial small subunit ribosomal RNA", at positions 1055 to 1364 of the family's 1533-position model. The record is from RNAcentral.
UCAGCUCGUGUCGUGAGAUGUUGGGUUAAGUCCCGUAACGAGCGCAACCCUUAUCCUUAUUUGCCAGCGGGUCAUGCCGGGAACUCUAAGGAGACUGCCGGUGACAAACCGGAGGAAGGCGGGGACGAGGUCAAGUCAUCAUGGCCCUUACGGGGUGGGCUACAAACGUGCUACAAUGGGAAGCACAAAGGGCUGCAAACCUGCGAAGGUAAGCGAAUCCCAAAAAACUUCUCGUAGUCCGGAUAGGAGUCUGCAACUCGACUCCUUGAAGUCGGAAUCGCUAGUAAUCGCGAUCAGAAGUCGCGGUG